GUGCCAGCAGCCGCGGUAAGACGAACCGUGCAAACGUUGUUCGGAAUCACUGGGCUUAAAGGGCGCGUAGGCGGGCAGUCAAGUCUUUUGUGAAAUCCUUCGGCUCAACCGGAGCAUUGCAGGAGAUACUGGCUGUCUCGAGGGGGGUAGGGGCAUGUGGAACUUCCGGUGGAGCGGUGAAAUGCGUAGAUAUCGGAAGGAACGCCGGUGGCGAAAGCGACGUGCUGGACCCUUUCUGACGCUGAGGCGCGAAAGCCAGGGGAGCAAACGGGAUUAGAUACCCCAGUAGUCC
This 292-nucleotide ribosomal RNA is filed under the name uncultured bacterium. Its description in RNAcentral is "partial 16S ribosomal RNA". It matches the Rfam family "Bacterial small subunit ribosomal RNA", at positions 505 to 796 of the family's 1533-position model. The record is from RNAcentral.